CCUACGGGAGGCAGCAGUGGGGAAUAUUGGGCAAUGGAGGAAACUCUGACCCAGCAACGCCGCGUGAAUGAUGAAGGUCUUCGGAUUGUAAAGUUCUUUUCUAAGGGAAGAAGAAAGUGACGGUACCUUAGUAAUAAGCCUCGGCUAACUACGUGACAGCAGCCGCGGUAAUACGUAGGAGGCAAGCGUUAUCCGGAAUGACUGGGCGUAAAGGGUGCGUAGGUGGUUUGACAAGUUGGUAGCGUAACUCCGGGUCGCAACCUCGGCACUACUACCAAAACUGUUGGACUGGAGUGCAGGAGGGGCGAAUGGAAUUCCUAGUGUAGCGGUGAAAUGCGUAGAUAUUAGGAGGAACACCAGUGGCGAAGGCGAUUUUCUGGACUGUAACUGACGCUGAGGCACGAAAGCGUGGGGAGCAAACAGGAUUAGAUACCCGAGUAGUC
This 443-nucleotide ribosomal RNA is filed under the name uncultured bacterium. Its description in RNAcentral is "partial 16S ribosomal RNA". It matches the Rfam family "Bacterial small subunit ribosomal RNA", at positions 338 to 795 of the family's 1533-position model. The record is from RNAcentral.